CUGCAAUUAUGAGUAUGAACAUAGACAAAUAGAGUGUAGCUAAAAAUCACACUCACCUGUAGAACAGGGAGUCAAUUCAGUAAGUUCACAAUUUCCCUGGGCGGUUAUAUCCUUUCCCCAGUUCAGGGUAUGGGUUCUUUCUCUACUAAUAAUGUCCUGGUGUGUACUCCCCUACUGAUCUGACUCUAGCAGAUUCUCGAGAAGCCAAUUCUCUCUCUCGGUCUACUUUACCGACAAGAGCUCUGAAUGAAUGAGCAAUGAGUUUGAUUAUAGCUAUUCAAAGUUUCUUUGUUUAAUGUUGAGAUGCAUUCAAGUUCAGAUAUUCACGUAUUAUUAAAUCUAAAUGAUCUUAGUACAAGUUUAAUGGUUCUUUAGUAAUUUCUUGAUGGUAGUCUGAAAUUAUCCUGUGAGAAGUAUCCAUAGUUGAUAGUGGUUCGGAUGAGAUAUUAAAUAAAGAGAUGUGGUAUCAUGCAUUUCUUUCUUAAUCCAAAGAAAUGUCCUUUGAGUUACUUUUCUGCUGAUGGAUACCUCAAUAGGUGGUUCCAACAUUUAGAUGAGUCAUCUGCUUUUGAAGCAUGAUCAUCUUGACCUGUUUAGGAUCCCCAGACCCAUUUUUUUAAUCUGCACUGUCUUUAAUCUCUUGAUUGCUUCUCACCUUUGUCCUUUGUUUCAUUAAUUUUUGUCUCUGCAGCUUGUUAACUCCUCAGUCAAUGAAUUCUAACCCUUUUUUUUCCUUGCAUAUUGGCUAAUCCAGGAAAAACAACAAAUGUUCCAAGGGAAUUCCUCCUACAAAUCCUUGGAGAAGAUCGUGUAACUAAUUUUGUGAUACAAGAAAUAGUCGCCUCAACCAUGGCAGAUUAUGUGAAGAAGGAAAAUCUGAAGGUGAAGGAAAACAAAAUUAGCACCACUCAAAAGGCAGAAGAACUCAAGAAAGUGUUUGUACCUGGAAAUGAAUUUGGAUUUAAUGCUGUUCUAGAGCUUGAAAAACCUGAAGCUGAAACUGAGAAUGAAAAUGAAACUGAACCUGAACCUGAACCUGAAACAGCAAGUUAAAUUCACCAAUUUUGUAAAGCACUUGUACAAUGUGAUUAUUUUCAGAGUAAUCUAUUCAUUUGUAAUUGCUUUUAGACUA
This is a long non-coding RNA of Populus euphratica (Euphrates poplar), 1132 nucleotides long. RefSeq lists it as uncharacterized. NCBI's taxonomy places the organism in Eukaryota, Viridiplantae, Streptophyta, Magnoliopsida, Malpighiales, Salicaceae. The transcript is spliced from 3 exons. The record is from RefSeq and is a predicted model, not a curated record.